ACCCGCUGAAUUUAAGCAUAUAAGUAAGUGGUGGAAAUUAAACCAAAUGGGAUAUCUUUAGUAAUUGCGAAUGAACAAGGAUAUGCUUAGCUUGACAAAUGGAGCUAUUGGCUUUGAAUUGUAUUUGUGGAAUGUAUUACCAACAGAGGUGCAGGUGCCAGCCUAUUAAAUAAAGCGUCAAUGAGGGUGAGAAUCCUGUUUGUCAUGUGCAGCCCUUUGUGCACGGUGUAUAUUUGCUGAGUCACACUCCUUGGCAUUGGAAUGCAAAGUGGGUGGUAAGUUUCAUGUACAGGUAAACAUGCAAUUGAGACUGAUAGCACACAAGUACCAUGAGGGAAAUAUGAAAAGGACUUUGAAAAGAGAAUUAAAUGAGUUUGUAUUUGCUGAACACAAAGUAAACAGACUUGAUUUGCUUGGUGGGAGUGUUGCACUUGCUUGACAAGAGCUUUGGGCUGUGGGUGUAAUGAUUCUUUCUUUGCAUGCCAGUUUCUAUGUGUACAUCUGAUUACCUUUGCACAUGAAUGAUAAGUCUCCUGUGGGGGGUGGAUUGCAUGUGCAUGUAAUGAUUUGUGUUUUGAUAAAUGUGUCUGGUGUAUGUGUGUGUGUUCCUGUGCUUGGGGAUGCUUCCUUCCUUGGACUUACAAGCCCUGACACACACAUGCUGGCAAAAUGCUUCUGCUUGACCCGUCUUGAAACACGGACCAAGG
Molecule: ribosomal RNA, 707 nt
Filed under: Alexandrium tamarense
Lineage: Eukaryota; Dinophyceae; Gonyaulacales; Pyrocystaceae
Description: LSU rRNA
Rfam family: Eukaryotic large subunit ribosomal RNA
Source: RNAcentral